UUGAGGCUUUUACAAUUCCCCGCUAAGUAGUGAUAAGUGGACUGCUACCAGGCCAGCACUCGAGUUUCCGUGAUGGGUAUUGGACGUUGUUUUGCAGCCAAAAUAACUGAAACUGUCACUUUAAGACUCUGUCUGCAUAUUUCAAUUAUGUAAAAAUAUUCUCUCCAAAGCCCUGUUUUGUGUGCAACGAAAUCACAUUAGCAUAAAGUAGGCUACUUAACAAAGUCAAUGAACGUAAUUAUUAUACUCCUGACAUUAAAAAUAUGAACAAAGUUGUGUGAAA
Molecule: long non-coding RNA, 283 nt
Organism: Drosophila bipectinata
Lineage: Eukaryota; Metazoa; Arthropoda; Insecta; Diptera; Drosophilidae
Source: RefSeq, a predicted model, not a curated record